RNAcentral lists this ribosomal RNA (329 nucleotides) under uncultured eukaryote. Its description in RNAcentral is "partial 18S ribosomal RNA". It matches the Rfam family "Eukaryotic small subunit ribosomal RNA", at positions 1470 to 1796 of the family's 1831-position model. The record is from RNAcentral.
CCCUUAGAUGUUCUGGGCCGCACGCGCGCUACACUGAUGCAUUCAACGAGUCUAAAACCUGCUCUGAUAGGGGUGGGUAAUCUUUUGAAUGUGCAUCGUGAUUGGGAUAGAUGAUUGCAAUUUUUCAUCUUCAACGAGGAAUGCCUAGUAAACGCAAGUCAUCAGCUUGCAUUGAUUACGUCCCUGCCCUUUGUACACACCGCCCGUCGCUCCUACCGAUUGAAUGAUCCGAUGAAUAUCAUGGAUUGAGGAUGCAAGCAGGUUCGCCUGUCUUCAUCUUCGAGUAGUGAAGUAAAUCUUAUCAUUUAGAGGAAGGAGAAGCCGUAACA